RNAcentral lists this small nuclear RNA (107 nucleotides) under Urocitellus parryii (Arctic ground squirrel). Lineage: Eukaryota; Metazoa; Chordata; Mammalia; Rodentia; Sciuridae. The record is from RNAcentral.
CUGCUCACUUCAGCAGCAUAUACACUAAAAUUGGAAAGAUAUAGAGAAGAUUAGCAUGGCCMCUGUGCAAGGAUGACAUGCAAAUUCAUGAAGAGUUCCAUAUUUUU